GAUGAACGCUGACAGAAUGCUUAACACAUGCAAGUCAACUUGAAUUUGGGUUUUUAACUUAGGUUUGGGUGGCGGACGGGUGAGUAACGCGUAAAGAACUUGCCUCACAGCUAGGGACAACAUUUGGAAACGAAUGCUAAUACCUAAUAUUAUGAUAAUAGGGCAUCCUAUAAUUAUGAAAGCUAUAAGCGCUGUGAGAGAGCUUUGCGUCCCAUUAGCUAGUUGGAGAGGUAACGGCUCACCAAGGCGAUGAUGGGUAGCCGGCCUGAGAGGGUGAUCGGCCACAAGGGGACUGAGACACGGCCCUUACUCCUACGGGAGGCAGCAGUGGGGAAUACUGGACAAUGGACCAAGAGUCUGAUCCAGCAAUUCUGUGUGCACGAUGAAGUUUUUCGGAAUGUAAAGUGCUUUCAGUUGGGAAGAAAGAAAUGACGGUACCAACAGAAGAAGUGACGGCUAAAUACGUG
RNAcentral lists this ribosomal RNA (467 nucleotides) under uncultured bacterium. RNAcentral's name for it is "partial 16S ribosomal RNA". It matches the Rfam family "Bacterial small subunit ribosomal RNA", at positions 28 to 507 of the family's 1533-position model. The record is from RNAcentral.